CUACGGGACGCACCAGUGGGGAAUAUUGCACAAUGGGCGCAAGCCUGAUGCAGCAACGCCGCGUGAGGGAUGAAGGCCUUCGGGUUGUAAACCUCUUUUAGCAGGGAAGAAGCGAAAGUGACGGUACCUGCAGAAAAAGCACCGGCUAACUACGUGCCAGCAGCCGCGGUAAUACGUAGGGUGCAAGCGUUGUCCGGAAUUAUUGGGCGUAAAGAGCUCGUAGGCGGUUUGUCACGUCUGCUGUGAAAAUCCAAGGCUCAACCUUGGACUUGCAGUGGGUACGGGCAGGCUAGAGUGCGGUAGGGGAGAUGGGAAUUCCUGGUGUAGCGGUGGAAUGCGAAGAUAUCAGGAGGAACACCAAUGGCGAAGGCACAUCUCUGGGCCGUAACUGACGCUGAGGAGCGAAAGCGUGGGGAGCGAACAGGAUUAGAUACCCGAGUAGUC
Molecule: ribosomal RNA, 444 nt
Filed under: uncultured bacterium
Lineage: Bacteria
Description: partial 16S ribosomal RNA
Rfam family: Bacterial small subunit ribosomal RNA
Source: RNAcentral